UCACCCUGUUUGGGAAAGGGAAAGGCAAGAAGAGGCGAUCAAAGCUCAGAAUCGGUGUGCAUUUGUGAAAUCAAGUCUUUCGUUUUGCAGAGUUAUCGGACCCAGGUCUUGCGACACCGGCCCGUUCUGGACACCUGCUGCAUACACACAUGCAUGUUCAACUCACCUUGGGACCAGCAGCACCAUCGCGACCGGGAGCACCUUCUGCACCAGGAGAGCCCUGUCAGCCAAGAAGAAAGAUGCCCACAAACACCAGCCCCAGAAGGAAACUGAACCCAGACUUUCUGCGCAGAGUAGUCAGAGAAGAGCUGAAGGGGAGCACUCACAGAUGGCCCGGGAAGACCAGGGAAACCUCUCUCGCCUCUUUGUCCAGGAAGACCAACCACACCACGCUGCCCAGCAAUACCUUGUGGGCCAGGAGUACCAGGUGCGCCCUACAGGAGGAAAGCGGACAUGAGCAUGAGAUGUCGACAGAGAAGAUCCUGGCUAGAAAAACACAUUUCAUUUUUGCCAGCAUUAUGCUGCACUGCAGAAGGGUUGGAGGCGAGCUGGGCAUAACCCAGACACUGUGGAAGGAUGUGUGGAUCCAGAAUUGGCCUCCACGGUCACUUAUGGACACACUGGUAAAACCAUGUUUAUGGAAGACAAUCUUACACAUCUACAAGUGAUCGCCAAAGAAGAAAGAAGACCCCAGACAGGCUGGGAAAUAAGAACAAGGUGGGCUUGCUUGAAGGAGAAGAACUGUUGGAUGUCCCGACUCCACUUUACGUUGUGAGUAAUGCCCAUGAGGCUUUCUACCCUUGCCUAAAGUAACCCACACCUUGUUGUAUCUUGGCUGGCUAGGGGAUUUUUCUUCAGGCUCUCUUUAAGCAAAGUGUGACCACACAUGGCAAGGACCACCUUUUCUACUGAAACACAUCCCACAUUAAAAAAACCCAAACACUUGGCAAGCAACAAUCUGAACAAAUGGAUCUGGUCUAUAAUGUAGGCAGCCAUUAUGUGGCAUUUCAACGAUGCUCACUAGAACAUCGCCACUAAAGAGGUGCAGCCGUAAAGAUCUGCACAAGCAGUGGGGAAUUCCAAAGCCAAUUUAAGGCAGAGAAAUCGUUAACAUGGCAGCUGGGCUGCCAUCAGGGAGCCAGAUGUUGCGACAGGGAGAUAACCCCAUGGAGGAGGGCCCAAGUUUGGCUUGAGCAACCCCGUUCAAGAGGAAUGAAAGGGUGAUGAACUGGGAGCGAUUUCCUUAGGAUGUGAAAACUCUGGGUUUCGAACAUGAAUGCAUUUUUGACUUGCACCCAGCUUAAGAAUGCAGAAGAAGAAGGUAC
This is a non-coding RNA of Podarcis muralis (Common wall lizard), 1325 nucleotides long. The record is from RefSeq and is a predicted model, not a curated record. NCBI's taxonomy places the organism in Eukaryota, Metazoa, Chordata, Lepidosauria, Squamata, Lacertidae.